CUGGGAGUACGGCCGCAAGGUUAAAACUCAAAUGAAUUGACGGGGGCCCGCACAAGCGGUGGAGCAUGUGGUUUAAUUCGAUGCAACGCGAAGAACCUUACCUGGUCUUGACAUCCAUAGAAUUCUGCAGAGAUGUGGGAGUGCCUUCGGGAACUAUGAGACAGGUGCUGCAUGGCUGUCGUCAGCUCGUGUUGUGAAAUGUUGGGUUAAGUCCCGCAACGAGCGCAACCCUUAUUCUUUGUUGCCAGCGAUUUGGUCGGGAACUCAAAGGAGACUGCCGUUGAUAAAGCGGAGGAAGGUGGGGACGACGUCAAGUCAUCAUGGCCCUUACGACCAGGGCUACACACGUGCUACAAUGGCGUAUACAAAGGGAAGCGAAGGUGCGAGCUGGAGCGGAUCUCAUAAAGUACGUCUAAGUUCGGAUUGGAGUCUGCAACUCGACUCCAUGAAGUCGGAAUCGCUAGUAAUCGUAGAUCAGAAUGCUACGGUGAAUACGUUCCCGGGCCUUGUACACACCGCCCGUCACACCAUGGGAGUGGGUUGCACCAGAAGUAGAUAGCUUAACCGCGAGGGGGGCGUUUACCACGGUGUGAUUCAUGACUGGGGUGAAGUCGUAACAAGGUAACCA
Molecule: ribosomal RNA, 628 nt
Filed under: uncultured Enterobacteriaceae bacterium
Lineage: Bacteria; Pseudomonadati; Pseudomonadota; Gammaproteobacteria; Enterobacterales; Enterobacteriaceae
Description: bacterial SSU rRNA
Rfam family: Bacterial small subunit ribosomal RNA
Source: RNAcentral